GAGCUAUCUAGCUUGAUUGUCAAUGGAAUAUUUCAUCACAGACAAAGAUCAUCUCAAAUAAAACAAGCUUUGCAUUUGAAAACAGGAAGAAACUUGCAUUUGAGUAUGUACGCGCUGUUGAGUAGGUAAAAAAUUGCGGCUAUUCCAAUUUUUGAAACUCGAUCUUUUUUUCACCCACAAAGAAAGCAUUGAUCCCUCCCAUUUUUGUGCCCAUCGAGUUGUUUGACGAAGUCAAGAUCCCGGAACUGCCCCCAUGCUCACAGAGGCACCGGCAGCGGC
Molecule: long non-coding RNA, 279 nt
Filed under: Panicum hallii
Lineage: Eukaryota; Viridiplantae; Streptophyta; Magnoliopsida; Poales; Poaceae
Description: long non-coding RNA (PHAL_LNC000904)
Source: RNAcentral